GACGAACGCUGGCGGCGUGCUUAACACAUGCAAGUCGAACGGAGAAUUUAUUUCGGUAAAUUCUUAGUGGCGAACGGGUGAGUAACGCGUGGGCAACCUGCCCUUCAGAUGGGGACAACAUCCCGAAAGGGGUGCUAAUACCGAAUACGAUCACGCUGCCGCAUGGCGGUGUGAUGAAAGAUGGCCUCUAUUUAUAAGCUAUCGCUGAAGGAUGGGCCUGCGUCUGAUUAGCUAGUUGGUGGGGUAACGGCCUACCAAGGCGAUGAUCAGUAGCCGGUCUGAGAGGAUGAACGGCCACAUUGGGACUGAGACACGGCCCAAACUCCUACGGGAGGCAGCAGUGGGGAAUAUUCCGCAAUGGACGAAAGUCUGACGGAGCAACGCCGCGUGAGUGAUGAAGGUUUUCGGACUGUAAAACUCUGUUGUUUAGGACGAAAGUGCCUGUUGCAAAUAGUUGCAGGUAUUGACGGUACUGAACGAGGAAGCCACGGCUAACU
Molecule: ribosomal RNA, 497 nt
Filed under: uncultured bacterium
Lineage: Bacteria
Description: bacterial SSU rRNA
Rfam family: Bacterial small subunit ribosomal RNA
Source: RNAcentral